This 505-nucleotide long non-coding RNA is filed under the name Mus caroli (Ryukyu mouse). RNAcentral describes it as "lncRNA (MGP_CAROLIEiJ_G0003262.1)". The record is from RNAcentral. Lineage: Eukaryota; Metazoa; Chordata; Mammalia; Rodentia; Muridae.
CCAGGCUCCACUUCAAAGGGCAAAGCCAACAGACCAUCCUAGAGGCAGUGGCUGCUCAACGAUGCACAGUGCCAACCAUCUAGGUUUGAAAGCAGAAUCUAGGUUUGAAAGCAGAAAGCUUCACCAUCAACCAAGGUAAUGACCGCUCGACAGGUUGUGAAAUCUGAAGUUGGGAAGAGGUGCCAGUCCCCAUUCUAAAGACGGUCCUGUAAAGUUCCAGGCUAGCCUGUGCUAUAACUGAGACCUUGCCUCAAAUGAACAAGCAAACAAAAGAGAACGGAAACCCUGAAGCCCGUCUUCUCCCCCUACCACCCUCCCAGGAGUUAGAAAAGAGGCCCUGCCUCAGAUAAGCCACCUGGGCUCACUCUGCAUGAUAUAUGUCUGGGCUUUGGAGGAUGCCCGCUGUCUUGCUUGCUGCAAUUGUACAUUAGUGUAUGGAGGCUGCCCCAGGCCAUGACUGUACGCUCCACUCUUUACCAACUCAUGACUGAAUUUCAUGGAGAUG